Molecule: ribosomal RNA, 346 nt
Filed under: uncultured bacterium
Lineage: Bacteria
Description: bacterial SSU rRNA
Rfam family: Bacterial small subunit ribosomal RNA
Source: RNAcentral
AGAGUUUGAUCAUGGCUCAGGAUGAACGCCAGCUACAGGCUUAACACAUGCAAGUCGAGGGGCAGCAUGUUGGUUGCUUGCAACCAAUGAUGGCGACCGGCGCACGGGUGAGUAACGCGUAUCCAACCUACCCUUGUCCAUCGGAUAACCCGUCGAAAGGCGGCCUAACACGAUAUGCGGUUCACAGCAGGCAUCUAAGGUGAACGAAAUGUGAAGGAGAAGGAUGGGGAUGCGUCUGAUUAGCUUGUUGGCGGGUAACGGCCCACAAGGCGACGAUCAGUAGGGGUUCUGAGAGGAAGGUCCCCCANAUUGGAACUGAGACACGGUCCAAACUCUACGGGAGGCA